This 4372-nucleotide unclassified non-coding RNA is filed under the name Hevea brasiliensis (rubber tree). The record is from RNAcentral. Lineage: Eukaryota; Viridiplantae; Streptophyta; Magnoliopsida; Malpighiales; Euphorbiaceae.
AUUUGAGAUGCCCAUACACUAGUAAUGCGCGCACUUAAUAAAUUGAAAAACUCUUUGUUUUUUGAAUAGCAUAAUUACAUUUAACUUCUAGUAAUGCAAAUUUGCAAUUUAGGGGUAUACAGAAUGCUAUGCUAUGGUAUAUUUUCUUGGAUGGCAUUUUUUUUUCCAAUCCAAACCCCAAAAUUUUAGUACAUUGUGCAUCUCUAGCAUUGUCACCCCCAUUCCCACAGUGACAGCUUGCUACGUGAAAUUAGAGCAAGAAGGCGUAUACAUAGAUAUCAGAAGAAAUAAAAGGGCUACCAACAAAUUUCACAUAAGAGCACCAAAACAAGAGAUGAAGGAAACUGUGAAAAAGAAACCAAGAAUAUCAUUACAUAACAGGAGCACCAACGUGCUAUUUUAAAGUUUAGGAGGUCAUGGUGAUGUUCAAUAGUAUUAGAAUUGUCUUCAAGACUGUAAAGUUACAAUUUCAAACACCAAUUAAAGUCUAAUUAAUUUAAAAAAAAAAAGGGAGAACGUUUUAUAGGAUAUCUAUGACGAAGAAAGCUUAACUUUCUUCAUUAGGUCUAGGCUCUUGUUGGGCAAGUUACAUUCUUCUACAUGGUGAGAACCUUACAAGACAAACAACGAGGUACUAAUAAUGACAACACAAUAUUGUAAACUCUGGCUACCAAUAGAAAAGACAGCCUCCUUUUAUCCGCCCCAAGAAAGGAAGCAGUUCAAGAAGUUUGACACCUAAAUCCUUGCUUUAAGAACUUCACACACUGUAGAAAUAACUAACGAGAACAAAAAGAAAGAGCAUUCCAGACAAUUAUAAUUAUUCUUCUUUCCCAUCUAGGCAUGUUGCUGACCAAUAAUAAACGCUAUCAGACUAGGAAAGUUACUCUUCCACUUACAACAUCAGCAGGAAAUGCAUUGAACAGCCUUUGGAAAAUCCAAAGCCCUAAAUGAUAUUUGAAAGAUUACUUCCUUCCCACAUUCCCAUUACCUUGGAAAACAACCAAAAGGAAAUUAUGCCUGCCCUUUCAACCCUAACUAUUCCUCCCAUCCUAUUGCUUACACCAACCUUACACCUAAAGCUUCUCAAAUUAGCUAGCGCAACUUAAAACACCUAAUCACACAGCAAAGCACACUUGCAGGCUCCUAUGCCAUGCUACACUGAAAACAUUCGAAUGGGUCCUGAUGACCGCCAUCUUACCUACAGCAACCUCCUGCGCCAUUUCCAAUCAAGGAUAAUUCUCAAGAAACAGCAGGAAAAUCAUUCUUAAGGCCUUUCCACAUUCUCACAAUGUUUUUUCUCUGUCACAAAGUACUUUCUGAACUCCAAUUGCUCUUCAGAAUAUCCCUAUUAACAUCCUAAGGCUCCAUUUGGCUCUGCUGUGCACAAAAUCUGAGUUAUAAAACACGAAGCUUUUCAAGGAAGCUUAUUUUCUCACUUAGUUUCCUUGAGAACCCCACUUUGUGCACAGAAGGGCACAACACAUACAAACUGGCUCCGAGUCUCCACAUCAAUUAGACUACUACCUAGUAAAGCCUCUAGAUAUAAAGAAAAGGAACAGAACAAUCUAUUCACGUCGUGCAGGGCAAAUGUACCUACAGAAUAUUGCCUUAGCAUGCUGGCACCUGCUAAUAUAAGAUUGCAAAGAAGAAAAGGGGUGACUAAAGCAAAAAGCAACAUUGGGCAAUUAUGCCUCAACCACCCCUACAGAGAGUGGACAUAAACUGAGCUCCUCAUCCUUCCCCCUAGAACAAUGUGAAGAUUGAAGAGCUUAAGUUUAAUGACCUACAGCUAACUCGCAGUAAAUUUGAGGUCAAAAUCCGAACUAACAAAAAUAGGAGUUGGGGAAUGUGAUUUGUUGUGGAAAAAUAUAAUCGCAAUCACAAAAUAAUCGGAACACAUAGUUUAAGUGGUUCGGUAAAUUGCUUACUCUAUGAAACAAUCCACUAAUAAAGGAAAAAUAAUACACCAUUAAUUAAUCUCACAUGAUCCCCAAAUCCUUCAACCCAAUUACAACCAAUGGUGUUUACCCUUACUAAGUAGUAGUGCUCUCACGUGCAAGCGAGGAGCUUGCUCCACCCAUGGCACACACGUCACAACCUCGCAAACUUGAUGCCAUCCAAAACAAGAUCUCAAAGCUCCUUACAUAGGCAUGAAUGCAGUUAAAACUUGGCCAAAUUCAUGCACCUUCUGUAUCUUGGGCACUAUUCCAAUUAAGCUUUCAAGAAGCUUCUUCAAUGAGCUUUUACAUUUUCUUAAUUAUCAUAUUAUGGGCUGGACUUAACAUGAUUUCUGCACAGUAGAGAAGCCAUUCAUGCAGAGACCAUUAAAUGGAGACUGAUUUCAUAAUAGUCCAGUUUCAGUUGGAUUGGAUGUUAUAGAGUGAUCUAAUGUCUUGAUUUUGAAUGUUCUGUCACCAACUAUUAACAUAUGAAUCAAACCGAAACUCCAUUUACAAUUUACCUUUUUGCUAAAACCCAACUUGCAAUCCUACUGUUGGCGUGUAAAUCUUUGUGACCAGAACUAUAUACGAAAAAGAGGUUGCAAAAUGGAUUGACCAGCAUAAUCAAGGCAUCUUGAAUUUUGAUGCAUAUAAACUACAACAGAAAAACAUUGUCUACAAACCUGGCCUUUCUAUAUGACCAAUGAACUAGUUAGAAGGAAACUUAGGUCGCCAACAAAAUUGUCCAUCCUCCGCAUCCUCAUUGAAGGGUGCCUUACGCUUUUUCAUAGUUGUGUCCAAAUUCUGACGUUCACCCACUGAAAAACACUUAAUUGGACAGGACUCAGAAGGAUCAUUAGUAUUUGUAAUAGGAGAAAGAAACAACUCUUUGUUUUUUUGUAGAGAAAACUCACUAAGCUUGCCCCUAUCUAGAGAACUGUUUGAAACAAGAUCCUCUGUCUCUUGAGCCGAACUUUCCAUGCUCAUACAGGGUUCAGCACAUAGACCCAACCUUAAAGACAAAUCACAUUGCAUCCCAGGUGACUUUUCAUGAGUAAUUCCCAAAUCUCCUUGUGAGAUCCUCUUGGCAGCAAUUUCAGCACUAGGACAGAAAAGGUUCUGCAAAACACCCAUUUCAGCAGACUCUGCAACUAAUGUGCUGAAACGAUUGCCAACAUAUAUAAUGUUGGGAUUCUUCUCUGUGACUUGGGAAACCAAAUAGGGCUUUUUUCUCUGAUAGUUAUUUCCAUAAUACAAAGGAUAAACUGAACCCAAGUUCAGUUGCUUGUUAGUGUCCUUCGUCAUCAACUGACUACAGCCAGUAGAAGUAUUAUCAUACAGUAGAGGAUAACUGCAAGGAGUAGCAACAUUACUAGCCUCAGUCAAAUGAUGGUUACUUUCUGAAACUGGAAAUGUUGAAUUUACAGCCAUGGUGGCUCUUGCAAAGUUCAACUGAUUGCUGGACUGAAGCGGUGCUGACUGAGGACAUUGUUUAUCAUUUGUUUUUUCCAAAACUCUAAGCGGUGCAGACACAGGUUCUUGCACUCUUGGGCUGAGGUAACUCCUGGGAUUACUGUGCCGUUGGCUUCUUGAAGCUCUAACUGGAAUGCAGCCCAGAUUGAGGGCAGCUAAACAACAUUUUGGCAAAAGACGCAUAGUUUAACACCUUGAGCACAUUUGUUUCAAACUAUUUUUAAUGGCAAAUCAAAUUAAGCUUGAACCUACAAUUUUUAAUUUUUUUUUUAAUUUACCACAUAUAAAUUACCUUCCAAUCCCUUUAGCCAUUAAGAAACAAGAUAAGCAUAAUUACAGAGUUGGAUCCAAUAAAUGUGAAAGUGAAUUAUCAGUACCUUCAAUACAAGGAGGCAGAAGCUCUCCAGUUUCACUGCUCUCAUCUCUCCGAAUAAUUGUGUUAAUGGCGUCAUUCACACGAUCCCAUAAUGUUUCUAGGUUCAUGUACUCAGCCUCAGAGUUGGCUUUGGAGUACAUGAUUUCCUCAGCUUUCAAGACCACGAGAGGAAGCUUCUCUUGCCACUCCUUGUUCUUUUUAGUUGCGGCACUGUGACUCUCUUUAGCGACCCUGAAAAUUUGUUGAAUGAUAGAACCUCUCAGGGGUUGGUGUCUAUCGCUGUGCCAAGCUCUCCUCACGCACUCAUAAGGUCUCGGCCCUGGCCUCGGCAUCUUCACCAGCAACUCCCUCUAACCGCAGACCACCCUCUAUAGCAGAGACAGAGAAAGAGAGAGAAAGAGGCAGAUAUUUAAGCGUUUAUAGAGAGAGUACACUACAUGGGUGCAGAUGGGUCACUUCAAAUUCUUUUGUUGCUUUCGCCCUUUCAAAUCAAAUUGCAGUUAGCAAUGGGGGCUUUUUUUCGUUGGCUGGGAAGCAGUACAAAGAAAAGAGAGAGAGAAUUGAGGAGAGAGAAUUGUUUACC